UGGUGGAGUGAUUUGUCUGCUUAAUUGGGAUAACGAACGAGACCUCGGCCCUUAAAUAGCCCGGUCCGCGUUUGCGGGCCGCUGGCUUCUUAGGGGGACUAUCGGCUCAAGCCGAUGGAAGUGCGCGGCAAUAACA
This 136-nucleotide ribosomal RNA is filed under the name uncultured eukaryote. Its description in RNAcentral is "partial 18S ribosomal RNA". It matches the Rfam family "Eukaryotic small subunit ribosomal RNA", at positions 1299 to 1458 of the family's 1831-position model. The record is from RNAcentral.